Molecule: ribosomal RNA, 376 nt
Filed under: uncultured fungus
Lineage: Eukaryota; Fungi
Description: partial small subunit ribosomal RNA
Rfam family: Eukaryotic small subunit ribosomal RNA
Source: RNAcentral
GCUUGUCUCAAAGAUUAAGCCAUGCAUGUCUAAGUAUAAGCCUUUAUAUGGUGAGACUGCGAAUGGCUCAUUAAAUCAGAAACUGUUUAUUUGAUAGUGCCUACUACAUGGAUACCUGUAGUAAUUCUAGAGCUAAUACAUGCACAAAGGCCCGACUCACGAAGGGCUGUAUUUAUUAGAUUUAAAGCCGACAUCUUUUGGUGAUUCAUAAUAACUCGCGGAUCGGUUUACCGAUGCAUCAUUCAAGUUUCUGCCCUAUCAGCUUUGGAUGGUAGGGUAUUGGCCUACCAUGGCUUUAACGGGUAACGGAGAAUUAGGGUUCGAUUCCGGAGAGGGAGCCUGAGAAAUGGCUACCACAUCCAAGGAAGGCAGCAGG